UUCAUGAAGGACUAGUGGUUAGGUCACAGCAGUUUCACUGCUACAGCCUGGGUUCAAUUCCCAGCCAGGGAA
Molecule: transfer RNA, 72 nt
Filed under: Pangasianodon hypophthalmus (striped catfish)
Lineage: Eukaryota; Metazoa; Chordata; Actinopteri; Siluriformes; Pangasiidae
Rfam family: tRNA
About the family: Transfer RNA (tRNA) molecules are approximately 80 nucleotides in length. Their secondary structure includes four short double-helical elements and three loops (D, anti-codon, and T loops). Further hydrogen bonds mediate the characteristic L-shaped molecular structure. tRNAs have two regions of fundamental functional importance: the anti-codon, which is responsible for specific mRNA codon recognition, and the 3' end, to which the tRNAs corresponding amino acid is attached (by aminoacyl-tRNA synthetases). tRNAs cope with the degeneracy of the genetic code in two manners: having more than one tRNA (with a specific anti-codon) for a particular amino acid; and 'wobble' base-pairing, i.e. permitting non-standard base-pairing at the 3rd anti-codon position.
Source: Rfam by way of RNAcentral